RNAcentral lists this ribosomal RNA (438 nucleotides) under uncultured bacterium. RNAcentral's name for it is "bacterial SSU rRNA". It matches the Rfam family "Bacterial small subunit ribosomal RNA", at positions 339 to 794 of the family's 1533-position model. The record is from RNAcentral.
AUACGGGAGGCAGCAGUGGGGAAUUUUGCACAAUGGGGGAAACCCUGAUGCAGCAACGCCGCGUGGAGGAUGAAGUCCCUUGGGAUGUAAACUCCUUUCGACCGGGACGAUUAUGACGGUACCGGUGGAAGAAGCCCCGGCUAACUCUGUGCCAGCAGCCGCGGUAAUACAGAGGGGGCAAGCGUUGUUCGGAAUUAUUGGGCGUAAAGGGUGCGUAGGCGGUGCGGUAAGUCUUCUGUGAAAUCUACGGGCUCAACUCGUAGUCUGCAGGAGAAACUGCCGUGCUUGAGUAUGGGAGAGGUGAGUGGAAUUCCUGGUGUAGCGGUGAAAUGCGUAGAUAUCAGGAGGAACACCUGUGGCGAAAGCGGCUCACUGGACCAUAACUGACGCUGAGGCACGAAAGCUAGGGGAGCAAACAGGAUUAGAUACCCCGGUAGU